CCUACGGGUGGCAGCAGUGGGGAAUAUUGCUCAAUGGGGGAAACCCUGAUGCAGCGACGCCGCGUGAGGGAAGAAGUCUUUCGGUAUGUAAAGCUCUUUUAGUAGGGGAGAAAAUGCCGGUACCUGAUUAAGAAGCACCGGCUAACUCCGUGCCAGCAGCCGCGGUAAUACGGAGGGUGCAAGCGUUAUCCGGAUUUACUGGGUGUAAAGGGAGCGUAGGCGGGAGAACAAGUCAGGAGUGAAAUGCCGGGGCUUAACCCCGGAACUGCUUUGGAAACUGUGCAGCUAGAGUGUAGGAGAGGUAGGUGGAAUUCAUGGUGUAGCGGUGAAAUGCGUAGAGAUCAGGAGGAACACCAGUUGCGAAGGCGGCUUACUAGACUACAACUGACGUUGAGGCACGAAAGCGUGGGGAGCAAACAGGAUUAGAUACCCUAGUAGUC
Molecule: ribosomal RNA, 440 nt
Filed under: uncultured bacterium
Lineage: Bacteria
Description: partial 16S ribosomal RNA
Rfam family: Bacterial small subunit ribosomal RNA
Source: RNAcentral